Molecule: ribosomal RNA, 433 nt
Filed under: uncultured bacterium
Lineage: Bacteria
Description: partial 16S ribosomal RNA
Rfam family: Bacterial small subunit ribosomal RNA
Source: RNAcentral
AACGAACGCUGGCGGCAGGCCUAACACAUGCAAGUCGAGCGCGCCCUUCGGGGUGAGCGGCGGACGGGUGAGUAACGCGUGGGAACGUGCCCUUUUCUACGGAAUAGCCUCGGGAAACAGAGAGUAAUACCGUAUACGCCCUUUGGGGGCAAGAUUUAUCGGAAAAGGAUCGGCCCGCGUUGGAUUAGGUAGUUGGUGGGGUAAUGGCCUACCAAGCCGACGAUCCAUAGCUGGUUGGAGAGGAUGAUCAGCCACACUGGGACUGAGACACGGCCCAGACUCCUACGGGAGGCAGCAGUGGGGAAUCUUAGACAAUGGGGGCAACCCUGAUCUAGCCAUGCCGCGGGAGUGAUGAAGGCCUUAGGGUUGUAAAGCUCUUUCAGCUGGGAAGAUAAUGACGGUACCAGCAGAAGAAGCCCCGGCUAACUCCGUG